UAAGGAAUAUUGCUCAAUGGGAGAAAUCCUGAAGCAGCAACGCCGCGUGGAGGAUGAAGGGUCUAUGACUUGUAAACUCCUGUAAAGAAGGAAAAAAUUCCCAUUUGAUGGGAGAUGAUGGUACUUCUGGAGUAAGCCCCGGCUAACUACGUGCCAGCAGCCGCGGUAAUACGUAGGGGGCAAGCGUUGUCCGGAUUUACUGGGCGUAAAGGGAGCGUAGGCGGACUUUUAAGUGAGAUGUGAAAUACCCGGGCUCAACCUGGGUGCUGCAUUUCAAACUGGAAGUCGAGAGUGCAGGAGAGGAAAGUGGAAUUCCUAGUGUAGCGGUGAAAUGCGUAGAGAUUAGGAAGAACACCAGUGGCGAAGGCGACUCUCUGGACUGUAACUGACGCUGAGGCUCGAAAGCGUGGGGAGCAAACA
Molecule: ribosomal RNA, 420 nt
Filed under: uncultured bacterium
Lineage: Bacteria
Description: bacterial SSU rRNA
Rfam family: Bacterial small subunit ribosomal RNA
Source: RNAcentral